UUGAAGUUUUGUUAAUUUCAG
RNAcentral lists this non-coding RNA (21 nucleotides) under Caenorhabditis elegans. Lineage: Eukaryota; Metazoa; Nematoda; Chromadorea; Rhabditida; Rhabditidae. The record is from RNAcentral.